AUGAAGAAGAUCCGGGUCAUCAGAAAGGAUUCCGGUUUAAAAUCCGGCUCAAGGGAAGUCAGUCUCAUUGAAGCUCUCAAAUAUCUGGUUUACAAUCCGGUUCAAGGGAAAUCUGUUCUCCCACAAAGCUUUGAAGCUCUCAAUAUCCGGUUCAAGAUCCCGGUUCAAGAAGAAUUUAUCUCUUGCAAAAAGGUUAAAAAUUACCGAAGAGGACCUGCUGCCAUGAUGCGCGGUUCAAACAUGGGUAUCCUUCCUUAUUGGCCUAACAUAUUAUUGAUCACAUGGGGGCUUCUGCUUCAUAAAGCGGGGUCUCUGUUCUUUUUACAUCAUGCGUGGUUACAUGGAGUAGUUCUGUUUUAA
RNAcentral lists this ribosomal RNA (360 nucleotides) under Triticum aestivum (bread wheat). RNAcentral's name for it is "partial small subunit ribosomal RNA". The record is from RNAcentral. Lineage: Eukaryota; Viridiplantae; Streptophyta; Magnoliopsida; Poales; Poaceae.